UAUCGUUUAUUUGAUAGUACUUCACUACAUGGACAACUGUGGUAAUUCUAGAGCUAAUACAUGCUAAAAACCCCGACUUCGGAAGGGGUGUAUUUAUUAGAUAAAAAACCAAUGCCCUCCGGGGCUCCUUGGUGAAUCAUAAUAACUUAACGAAUCGCAUGGCCUUGUGCCGGCGAUGGUUCAUUCAAAUUUCUGCCCUAUCAACUUUCGAUGGUAGGAUAGUGGCCUACCAUGGUUUCAACGGGUAACGGGGAAUUAGGGUUCGACUCCGGAGAGGGAGCCUGAGAAACGGCUACCACAUCCAAGGAAGGCAGCAGGCGCGCAAAUUACCCAAUCCCGACACGGGGAGGUAGUGACAAUAAAUACUGAUACAGGGCUCUUUCGGGUCUUGUAAUUGGAAUGAGUACAAUUUAAAUCCCUUAACGAGGAACAAUUGGAGGGCAAGUCUGGUGCCAGCAGCCGCGGUAAUUCCAGCUCCAAUAGCGUAUAUUAAAGUUGUUGCAGUUAAAAAGCUCGUAGUUGAACCUUGGGCCUGGCUGGCCGGUCCGCCUCACCGCGUGUACUGGUCCGGCCGGGCCUUUCCUUCUGGGGAGCCGCAUGGCCUUCACUGGCCGUGUCGGGGAACCAGGACUUUUACUUUGAAAAAAUUAGAGUGUUCAAAGCAGGCCUUUGCUCGAAUACAUUAGCAUGGAAUAAUAGAAUAGGACGUGCGGUUCUAUUUUGUUGGUUUCUAGGACCGCCGUAAUGAUUAAUAGGGACAGUCGGGGGCAUCCGUAUUCAAUUGUCAGAGGUGAAAUUCUUGGAUUUAUUGAAGACGAACUACUGCGAAAGCAUUUGCCAAGGAUGUUUUCAUUAAUCAGUGAACGAAAGUUAGGGGAUCGAAGACGAUCAGAUACCGUCGUAGUCUUAACCAUAAACUAUGCCGACUAGGGAUCGGUGGGUGUUAUUAUUUUGACCCCAUCGGCACCUUACGAGAAAUCAAAGUUUUUGGGUUCUGGGGGGAGUAUGGUCGCAAGGCUGAAACUUAAAGGAAUUGACGGAAG
This 1043-nucleotide ribosomal RNA is filed under the name fungal sp. HS23 LX-2016. RNAcentral describes it as "SSU rRNA". It matches the Rfam family "Eukaryotic small subunit ribosomal RNA", at positions 111 to 1162 of the family's 1831-position model. The record is from RNAcentral. Lineage: Eukaryota; Fungi.